GAAUCACGGUUGAAACAAGAUUUACCAUGAGAAGUCAGCAGACGCCAUAGUACCCCGGCUAGUCGACAAACCGGGGGAAGGGC
This 83-nucleotide non-coding RNA is filed under the name Cohnella sp. SGD-V74. The record is from RNAcentral. Lineage: Bacteria; Bacillati; Bacillota; Bacilli; Caryophanales; Paenibacillaceae.